RNAcentral lists this unclassified non-coding RNA (379 nucleotides) under uncultured Gammaproteobacteria bacterium. RNAcentral's name for it is "contains 16S-23S intergenic spacer region". The record is from RNAcentral. Lineage: Bacteria; Pseudomonadati; Pseudomonadota; Gammaproteobacteria.
UCCGGUUUGACACCGGCAGUCUCCCUAGAGUGCCCGGCAUAACCCGCUGGUAACUAGGGACGAGGGUUGCGCUCGUUGCGGGACUUAACCCAACAUCUCACGACACGAGCUGACGACAGCCAUGCAGCACCUGUGUUACGGUUCUCUUUCGAGCACCCUCGCAUCUCUGCGAGGUUCCGUACAUGUCAAGGGUAGGUAAGGUUUUUCGCGUUGCAUCGAAUUAAUCCACAUAAUCCACCGCUUGUGCGGGUCCCCGUCAAUUCCUUUGAGUUUUAACCUUGCGGCCGUACUCCCCAGGCGGUCAACUUCACGCGUUAGCUUCGUUACUGAGUCAGUGAAGACCCAACAACCAGUUGACAUCGUUUAGGGCGUGGACUAC